Molecule: transfer RNA, 70 nt
Filed under: Nocardia aurantia
Lineage: Bacteria; Bacillati; Actinomycetota; Actinomycetes; Mycobacteriales; Nocardiaceae
Description: tRNA-Arg
Source: RNAcentral
ACCGUCCUGGUCGAACGGCACGACCUGGCCUUCGGAACCAGCAGGUGGAGUUCGAAACUGGUGCACGGCG